Molecule: ribosomal RNA, 281 nt
Filed under: uncultured bacterium
Lineage: Bacteria
Description: partial 16S ribosomal RNA
Rfam family: Bacterial small subunit ribosomal RNA
Source: RNAcentral
GACGAACGCUGGCGGCGUGCUUAACACAUGCAAGUCGAGCGGUAAGGCCCUUUCGGGGGUACGACGAGCGGCGAACGGGUGGAGUAACACGUGGGUGGACCUCGCCCUCCAGCGUCCUGGGAGUAAGCCUGGGAAACGUAGGGUCGUAAUACUGGAUAUGACUCCACGGUGCAUGUCGUGGGGUGGAAAGCCUUGUGCGGCUGAGGAUGGGCCCGCGGCCUAUCAGCUUGUUGGUGGGGGAUGGCCUACCAAGGCGACGACGGGUAGCCGGCCUGAGAGGG